This is a non-coding RNA of Phrynosoma platyrhinos (Desert horned lizard), 72 nucleotides long. The record is from the annotation of a GenBank genome assembly. Lineage: Eukaryota; Metazoa; Chordata; Lepidosauria; Squamata; Phrynosomatidae.
GCCAGUGUGGCAAAGUGGUUUAAGUGUCAAACUAUGACUCUGGAGACCAGGGUUCGAAUCUUGGCUUGGCCA